This 1026-nucleotide long non-coding RNA is filed under the name Mytilus galloprovincialis (Mediterranean mussel). The record is from RNAcentral. Lineage: Eukaryota; Metazoa; Mollusca; Bivalvia; Mytilida; Mytilidae.
UUAUUCAUUAAGUUUUGUAUAUAUGUCCGUCUGUCAUUCAUUUCGGAUGUGAUUUACUAGUAGAUAAAAAAAGAAACAUACAUACAAGGCCAAAUCAUUAUAAUAAAUACUAGAACACACCCGCGAAAUCGCGGGCAUUCAGAGCGUAGUUUAAAGUGUUGUUGGAAGAAUUUUGUAAAAUACAGAAUGACUGGAGAAUUUCAGCAAAAGUAUCAUAAGUCAUAGGUUAUUGGGGACAGGAAAAUGUUUUUUUUUUACCCUCCACCUUUAUUUCCAAAGUUCCCAAUUUUUGGUUUUCUAUCAAUUUCAAUAUGAACAUACAUUUAGUAUGUUAUGAACAUUUAUUUAAGUAAGGAGCCUGUAAUUCAGUGGUUGUCGUUUGUUUAUGUGUUACAUAUUUGUUUUUCGUUCAUUUUUUGUACAUAAAUAAGGCCGCUAGUUUUCUCGUUUGCAUUGAUUUACAUUGUCAUUUCGGGCCUUUUGAAGCUGAGUAUGCGGUAUGGGCUUUGCUCUUUGUUGAAGGCCGUACGGUGACCUAUAGUUGUUAAUAUCUGUGUCAUUUUGGUCUCUUGUGGAGAGUUGUCUUAACAUGGCAAUCAUACCACAUCUUCUUUUUUUUAUGUAAUCAAUGAAUUUUGUAAAAGAUUUAAUGACUGGAGAAUUUCAGAAAAAGUCUCAAAAGUUCACAUGAAUAAUUUUAGCGCUUAUCUGUAUAUUAUGAACAUUCAUUACUAUAUAAAUAAAGGGUAUUUACUUUCAAUUCUAAGUUUACUAAUCGAUCCAUGGUGAUCAAUGAUAUAGUAUACAGACCCUCUCUAUUUAAUAAACUCUGUGACCGCCGUGGAUAGUAAACUUGAAAAUGAUAGCAGAUAAAAUUCUGAAAAUACACUUUAUUCGUAGUUUAUGUAUGUUCAAAGUAUACAGAAAAACGCAAACCGGAAGUCUAAUCUGACUUAAAAUUUCGUACAAUGACGGGACAAUAUCCGGAUGCCUUUUUUCUCGUUUUUCUCCUAAAAUAACUCAAUC